AUGUUCACAUUAGCAACACAUGCAAAAUUGGAACAAUACAGAGAAGAUUAGCAUGGUCCUGUGCAAGGAUAACAUGCAAAUUCAUGAAGCAUUCCUUAUUUUU
Manis javanica (Malayan pangolin) is the source of this 103-nucleotide small nuclear RNA. The record is from RefSeq and is a predicted model, not a curated record. Lineage: Eukaryota; Metazoa; Chordata; Mammalia; Pholidota; Manidae.